RNAcentral lists this ribosomal RNA (368 nucleotides) under uncultured bacterium. Its description in RNAcentral is "bacterial SSU rRNA". It matches the Rfam family "Bacterial small subunit ribosomal RNA", at positions 149 to 500 of the family's 1533-position model. The record is from RNAcentral.
GGCCUAACGGCCGGGUAAUACCGCAUACGUUCGUUCGGGGGCAUCCCCGGGCGAGGAAAGCAGCCGCAAGGUUGCGCCGGUGGAGGGUCUCGCGGCCUAUCAGCUAGUUGGUGGGGUCAUGGCCCACCAAGGCGACGACGGGUAGGGGGUCUGAGAGGACGACCCCCCCACAUUGGGACUGAGACACGGCCCAGACUCCUACGGGAGGCAGCAGUGGGGAAUAUUGCGCAAUGGCCGCAAGGCUGACGCAGCGACGCCGCGUGUGGGAUGACGGCNUUCGGGUUGUAAACCACUGUCAGGGGGAACGAAUACGGGACCUCGAAUAGGGGAUCUCGGGUGACGGUACCCCCAAAGGAAGCACCGGCUAA